This 415-nucleotide ribosomal RNA is filed under the name uncultured bacterium. RNAcentral's name for it is "partial 16S ribosomal RNA". It matches the Rfam family "Bacterial small subunit ribosomal RNA", at positions 355 to 784 of the family's 1533-position model. The record is from RNAcentral.
UGGGGAAUAUUGGACAAUGGGGGCAACCCUGAUCCAGCAAUGCCGCGUGUGUGAAGAAGGUCUUCGGAUUGUAAAGCUCUGUCUUUUGGGACGAUAAUGACGGUACCAAAGGAGGAAGCCACGGCUAACUACGUGCCAGCAGCCGCGGUAAUACGUAGGUGGCGAGCGUUGUCCGGAUUUACUGGGCGUAAAGGGUGCGUAGGCGGAUGUUUAAGUGAGAUGUGAAAUACCCGGGCUUAACUUGGGUGCUGCAUUUCAAACUGGAUAUCUAGAGUGCAGGAGAGGAGAAUGGAAUUCCUAGUGUAGCGGUGAAAUGCGUAGAGAUUAGGAAGAACACCAGUGGCGAAGGCGAUUCUCUGGACUGUAACUGACGCUGAGGCACGAAAGCGUGGNNNUCAAGCAAGCAGAUUAGAUA